UACGUAGGGGGCAAGCGUUGUCCGGAAUCAUUGGGCGUAAAGAGCGUGUAGGCGGCCCGAUAAGUCCGCUGUGAAAGUCCAGGGCUCAACCCUGGGAUGCCGGUGGAUACUGUCGGGCUCGAGUCCGGAAGAGGAGUGUGGAAUUCCUGGUGUAGCGGUGAAAUGCGCAGAUAUCAGGAGGAACACCAAUGGCGAAGGCAGCACUCUGGGACGUGACUGACGCUGAGACGCGAAGGCUAGGGGAGCAAACGGG
Molecule: ribosomal RNA, 253 nt
Filed under: uncultured bacterium
Lineage: Bacteria
Description: partial 16S ribosomal RNA
Rfam family: Bacterial small subunit ribosomal RNA
Source: RNAcentral